GUAAUACUCCCUCCGUUCGAAAAUAUUUAUCAUCAAAAUGGACAAAAAGGGAUGUAUUUAGAACUAAAAUACAUCUAGAUACAUCCCCGUUUAUUCAUUUUGAUGACAAGUAUUUCCGGAUGGAGGGAGUACAAG
Molecule: non-coding RNA, 135 nt
Organism: Triticum aestivum (bread wheat)
Lineage: Eukaryota; Viridiplantae; Streptophyta; Magnoliopsida; Poales; Poaceae
Source: Rfam